This 253-nucleotide ribosomal RNA is filed under the name uncultured bacterium. Its description in RNAcentral is "partial 16S ribosomal RNA". It matches the Rfam family "Bacterial small subunit ribosomal RNA", at positions 524 to 776 of the family's 1533-position model. The record is from RNAcentral.
UACAGAGGGGGCAAGCGUUGUUCGGAAUUACUGGGCGUAAGGGGCGCGUAGGCGGCCCUCUAAGUCAGACGUGAAAUCCCUCGGCUCAACCGGGGAACUGCGUCUGAGACUGGAAGGCUUGAAUUCGGGAGAGGGAUGUGGAAUUCCAGGUGUAGCGGUGAAAUGCGUAGAUAUCUGGAGGAACACCGGUGGCGAAGGCGGCAUCCUGGACCGAGAUUGACGCUGAUGCGCGAAAGCCAGGGGAGCAAACGGG